Small nuclear RNA from Papio anubis (olive baboon), 103 nucleotides. The record is from Ensembl. NCBI's taxonomy places the organism in Eukaryota, Metazoa, Chordata, Mammalia, Primates, Cercopithecidae.
GUGCUCAUUUCAGCAGCACAUAUACUAAAAUUGGAACGAUACAGAGAAGAUUAGCAUGGCCCCUGUUCAAGGAUGCAAUGUCCUCUCAAUCAUCAUCGUUUAU